This 26964-nucleotide long non-coding RNA is filed under the name Ananas comosus (pineapple). Its description in RNAcentral is "long non-coding RNA (ACOM_LNC007582)". The record is from RNAcentral. Lineage: Eukaryota; Viridiplantae; Streptophyta; Magnoliopsida; Poales; Bromeliaceae.
UAAAAAAAAAAAAAAAAUUAAGAUUUUUUUUUUUUUUUUUUUUUAAGAUAGAGAGAAAGGUAGUAUGUUUGGUGAAAACUAAGAUUGUUUUCAGUAGAUGCUUGGUACAAUUUAGCCAAAUUAUUAGGAUCUUAUUGGUAAGGCACUUGGUGGGAUUUGAGAGAUUUCUUUGGUUCGAAUCCUAAUUUGAUCUUGGAUUACCGAGGUAUCAUCCAUAACUAUUUAGCCACUUGGGCUAGAGCUUGGUAGUAAUUUCAAAAUAGGAGCGUAAUUGUGUAGAUAUCAAGUUUUCUGCACUUAAAAAAGAAAGUUGCACACCAACCGUCCCUAGAGCAAGUUGUAAAGAACUUGGUAUCCGAGGUUUCAAGUUCGAACCAUAAUUGAUUCACAUUUCCAGCUAAGUUUAUUUUUAAAUGAAAAAAACGAAGCAGAUAGCGUACUACAGAGCUCUCUCAAAAAAAGAAAAAGAAAAAAGAAAGUUGCACAAUUUCGGCGAGUAAAUGAGCAAUGAAUGUCAAAUUUUCAAUAUGGGCAAAAAUUUGCAGUGAGAUGUGGAUGGCGAAUUAGAAAUUACUGUAUCAAUCUACUUAUUUGUAAACCUUGUAACAUGAGAAUAUCUGUUCAAGAUUUUUUUUUUUUGGGUUUAUUACAGAGUUGUUUGGAUUGUUUUGUAGAAAUACUAAAUACAACAAAACAAUCCUAAUCAUCUUAACUUUUUCUCUGUUUUUUUUGCAAUUUUGCAGUAAAAUGAGAGCAAAAACAUCUUAACAACUCUCUCCCCCUAACUCCCUCUAAAAAUGGAAUGUUUUUUUUUUGGUAAAAUGAAGGAUAAUCCAGAGCAAUUCAAACACCCUUAAUUGUGCACAAACUCAAUUCAAAAAUAAUAGGUGCCACAACUAUUUUUGGUUUUCAAUUUUUUUUAUUUUGAACUUGGUUGAAGAUAAUAGAUAAAAAUGCCACUCAUCGAAGCAAAUUUACCCUCCAAUUACAGUAAAAUUUAAAUUCUUCAAUGAUGACAUGUGAGACAUAAUGCUCUGUGAUAAAAUAUACAGAUAAUAUUUUUUAAUUUUAUAGUUGAUAGUGAAAGCCAAGAAGACAAAGUGACAAACACAACAUGUUAAGUGAGCCAUCAUCAUCAUCAUCAUCAUCAUCAUCAUUCUAUGCCAAAUUCCCCGCCAUUGAAGAUCUUUGUUUCAUCUUCCCUAAUUGACACAAAAACAAAUCAUCAACUAGUCAUAUAACACUCUUAUUCCUCCUCCCCUUUCCCCAAUAAAGAAGAGCAUAAGCAUAAAGCAAACAAAAGAGGCUCCUCUCUCUCUCUCUCUCUGUCUCUCUCUUCUCUCUCUACCUGGCAUCUUCCACUGUGUCAUGUGAGAUUGUGAAAAGCCAUUUUGCAUUACAAUCUCUCUCUCUCUCUCUCUCUCUCUCUCUCCCCUUGUGUUGUGGGGAGCCAUUUCCCAACUACUCUCUCUCACUCUCUUUGGCAUCUUCCACUUUGUGUUGUGAGGAGCCAAUUCCCAUUAGAAACUCUCUCUCUCUCUCUCUCUCUCUCUCUCUCAUUUGUAUUCUACUCAAAUCACUAUAUUCAUAUAUUCACCAUCCCCUUUCAUUCUCCUCUCUUAUUGGUAUAUCAUCUCCUUCUUUGGAAAUUUCCUCUCUUUUUCUCACUACAUUCCUCAAAGUUGGGUUUUUUUUUUUUUUUUUUUUUUAACUCUGAAAGGGUCCUCUUCCUCACCACAAGUUCAAUCAAAAUCCAAUUUUUAAUCUUGGGGUUUCUGUUUCUGCUUGUUCUUGAUGCUUCUCCCUCUUCAAUUUCUCAAAAUUUUCCACAAAUUUAGUUUACUUUUUACUCUUUGAUCUUGGUUUCUUCCACUUCCUCUGUGGAAUUGGGGCUUCCAUGGGACUCUGCCAUGGGAAACCGACUCAAAGCCCUAAGUUGGAGGGGAAGGAGGAGGAGGAUGAAGGAGACGAGUACGAGGAAGAAGAAGAAGAAGAGGAGGAGCGAAACCCUAAAAUCCCCGACCCCGACGCGCCGCCCCGCUCGAAGCCCUCGAUCCCCUUCUACAUCCCGAGCCCCCUCCCGGGCUCCUACAAGAGCUCCCCGGCGAAUCCGAGCGCCACUUCAACCCCUUUGCGAUUCUUAAAGCGCCCGUUCCCCCCGCCCUCCCCCGCGAAGCACAUUAGGGCGCUCCUCGCGCGGCGGCGCGGCGCCGUGAAGCCCAACGCCGCGGCGCCGGCGCCGGCGCCGGCGUCGGCUAUUCCCGAGGGGGAAGAAGCGGGGCUAGGGUUGGACAAGUGCUUCGGCUUCUCGAGGCAGCUCUUCGCCAUGUACGAGCUCGGGGAGGAGGUGGGGCGGGGCCAUUUCGGGUAUACCUGCGCCGCGAAGCCGAAGAAGAAGGGGGAGUUGCAGGUGGAGGAGGUGGCCAUUAAGGUUAUCCCAAAAGCAAAGGUAGUUCCUUUUUUCUCUUUUUCUUCUCCUUUUUUUUUUCGUAUUACAUACAGUGAGAAAAUCUGAUGAGAAAAGUACUUUAUUUGAUUUCGUACGCAAUGUUACGUUCCCACGUAGCAGUUACUUUGGUGAGAAACACACUAGAAAUAAAGGAAAAGAUAUUGAAUAAUAUCUGAAUGUUUGUAAGGUAUUAGAAGUUUAGUGAGAUGUAUAGAUUAACUUAAAGCUGGAUUAUAAAAGGAUAUCCCAGUAUUUAACCCUUUUUUUACAGAUGUGCAUUUAGAAGUGCUUUUCUUUGUUUGGUUUUAUGAUCAUGAAAAUGCACCAACUUUUUUCGAGUUGUAAUUUGACCAAAAGCCCAGCAACUAAGAAUGCAUAUCAAGUUGACCCACAAAGCUUCUUUAGAACAAAUCAGGCUCAGCAAUAUUUGGUUUGUUCCUAAUUGUAGGAUAAGAUUAAAAGUGCUUCAUUUUUUGGGUGAAAACAAUAAAGUGCACCAACUCUUUUUUUGAAUUUUAACUUGGCCAAAAAUUUUCCAUUUCAAGUUGAUCCAUAAAGCUUGCUAAUAUUUGGUGUUUAAGUGAUGUUGGACUCAUUCACAUUAAAUCCAACAAUCCCAAUCAGUCAUUUUUCUUGUUAUAUCAUGUUCUUAGUAAUAUAAUGGUGAAGCUUAUUACUAUUCUUUGAAGGUAUUUAUCUGAAUAUGUGACAUGGUGUCCGACUAUGGCUAAUUAAUUAUUUACAAUUCACAAGCUUUCUAACAUAUAUUGCUCUGCGACAAGUAUUGAUACCUUCUGCAGAUAUAUUGUUUUUUUCCUUUUAUCUUCUUUCUGUAAAGCAUGUUUUGCAAAUUUGUUUUUGACUGCACUACCAUGUUAACUUUUGUUUGCUUUAUCUGAGUGUUCAUUGAUUAAAAAUCCUGUAGAGCUGGAGCAAUGUCCGAUAAAUGGACAAGUGAUAAUCAAUACCUGGCAUUUAGUACUACUAUUUGUUUUCUACCUAUAACAUAAUACUGUAGUGUAAAAUCUGCUGUGUAGUACUUUGUCCUUUCUCAAUCAUUAAAUGAUGCCACUUAUAAUAGUUUGCCUCAGUUGGUUCUUUGAGGAUGGGAUCUAUAUAGAUUUUUUUUUCCCCUCUUAAAUAAUUUCUCUGUUUUUUCCAUGAAGAACUUAUUUAAACUUUGCUUAGAAUGGAAUAAUAAGCCUGAUCUGUUACUUUCUUGUAAUGAAAAACAAUUAAAAUGCUAAUAUUUACUGGAUUGGCGACCUUUUUCUUGUUUUCACUGUUGGUUUAGUAUGUUGUGUAAAAUAACACUUUUGAGUGUUUUGUUAUGAUAUUUUGAAUUUCAUAUUUGGGGAGCUGAAAAUGGUCGUAGGUGAAGAACUAAGCAUAAAAUAAAUACAUAUGCAUAUCUCGCAUGGUCUAAUGUGGUAAGCACUUUGGCAGAUGACAACAGUUAUUGCUAUUGAAGAUGUUAGACGAGAAGUGAGGAUAUUGAGCUCUCUGACGGGACAUCAGAAUCUAGUGCGAUUCUAUGAUGCUUAUGAGGAUGAAGAGAAUGUUUAUGUAGUCAUGGAGUAAGUCCUCAUUGCAUUUUCUUGUUCUCUCCCUAUUGAACGAUAUUGUUGAUUUAUCUCAUGUUCAAAAUUUAAACAUAAUGAACUGGCAUCUGUGUUGUAGCACAGAGGCAGUAUCCAAAUUUGGAGUCUGCUAUAUUGAAACUUUUGGGAUGAGAAAUACUAACUGAAAAAUGGAAAAAAAAUUCGAAAAAGUGGUUACUUAAAACUUAUUUUGGAAUUUGUGACUCCCUUGCCUACAUGGUAGGAAUGAGAUGCGGCCAUUUCAGCCCAUUUAGGUUGUUGAACAGCCCAAGUAUGGCUUAACUUUCUACCAGCUGAAUAAAAAGCGAACCGAUAUCCAUUUCAACCUUGUUUAGGCUGUUGAAUACCCCGAGGUUCGACUUGACUGUUGAACAGCCGAGGGCGCCAUGAACACACACCUUUCCCUGUCCCGCACUUGCUUUGAAUGUACUGUUUAGGCUGUUUAUAUUACCUUUCUUUGAUCUAGCGCUUCAUAAUCUUGCAAGUAUUAUUUGUAGCUUAUAAUUGUAAUUUUGUGCUCUUCAGAUUAUGCAAGGGAGGUGAAUUAUUGGACAGGAUAUUAUCAAGGUAUCUUUAAAUUCAUGAUAUAUACAUAAGUUACAUUUCCAGUUUCUGUUCAAGUUACCUACUUGUUUGUUUAAGUUUGAGGUUUGAGGUUCGAGGGUCGAACCAUGUGAUUAGCAAUUACAUACACGAUUGGCAGGGGCGGGAAGUAUUCUGAGGAAGAUGCAAAGGUUGUUAUGGCUCAGAUUUUGAGUGUCGUAGCCUUCUGUCAUCUUCAUGGUGUUGUCCAUCGAGACCUUAAGCCAGAGGUAGUAGAAGUUUGUUUAAUCCACUUGAGAUUUUUUCCUUUUUCCAAUAUCUGAUUAAAGUUUUGGAAUGUCAUUUAUGACUCUAUUAAUAAAUAAUAAUAUGUGCUUGUAACUUUGUGUUUCAGAAUUUUCUUUUCACUUCAAAGGAUGAGACCUCUACCUUGAAAGCCAUUGAUUUUGGCUUGUCCGAUUUUGUAAAGCCAGGUCUGUUUAAUGUAAUCUUGAUUGCGACCUUGUUUUUAGUUGUUUCAAAUAUUUAUUUGGUGAGAUAUUUACACAUAUACCUCCUUAAAAUAUCAUCUCUGUACUUAUAUGUAUCCUUUCAAAAUCUAAAUUUUUAUAUAUGCCCUUUGGAAACUUAAUUUUCUUUGACAUGUAUGCUUUAACUUACAGAAAUUCCCUUCUAAGCACCUUUUUUAAAACAAAGAUAACUUCUUCCCAUGAAUCCGUGACUACGAAAUGUGCAGAUGAAAGGUUAAAUGACAUCGUGGGAAGUGCAUAUUACGUCGCUCCUGAAGUUCUCCAUAGAUCUUAUGGAACCGAGGCGGACAUGUGGAGUAUUGGAGUAAUAGCAUAUAUUUUACUUUGUGGAAGUCGUCCUUUCUGGGCCCGCACGGAGUCGGGCAUAUUUCGAGCAGUCCUAAAGGCGGAACCGAGCUUCGAAGAAGCUCCGUGGCCUUCUCUCUCCGCCGAGGCUAAAGACUUUGUCAAGAGGCUUCUUAAUAAGGAUUACCGCAAGAGAAUGACUGCUUCGCAGGCUCUAAGUAUGUUCCUUGUUAUAUUGCUGUUGUUCAAUUCUUGUGUAGUUAAAAUUUGCUUUUCGUUAAAGCGUAAAUUCCAUUUUCUAAAUUUAGGUCAUCCUUGGAUUCGGAAUUCGCGAGAAGUGAAGAUUCCUUUGGACAUCAUAGUCUAUAGGAUGAUGAGAGCUUAUAUAUGUUCAUCUUCUCUAAGGAAAGCAGCUUUGCGGGUACAAUGAUUUUCCUUCUUCCUAUAAAUAUCUAAGUUAUUUAUCCCCCUGUAGCCCUGCUGGAUAAUUUAGUCCUCUUAUUUGUUCGUACUUACCAUAUUGUAUGUAAUGCAAUGAUUCUGUGCACUUUGUAGUAAGCUUGAUUCUCUUUUUAUCUUUUUUGUGAAUGUUAAGAUGCAGAAAAUGAUUCUCUUUUUAUCUUUUUUGUGAAUGUUAAGACGCAGAAAACUCGGCAUACAACAAAUCAACUGGAAUUUGGAUUGAUAGUUUUCAUUUUGCAGGCCCUUGCCAAAACUUUAACAGUGUCUCAGCUGUCAUAUUUGCGAGAUCAAUUUGGAUUACUGGGGCCGAACAAGAGUGGCUUUAUCUCUAUACAGAAUUUGAAGACGGUUAGUAAUUUCCUGCCAUCAUAUAUGCAUGUGUGCGAGAAAUGUAUAUUUAUUUGUGUGUUCACCUGAGUCAACCUCCGACAGGCUUUCUUGAAAAGCUCGACCGAGACGAUGAAGGAUUCAGGGGUUCUUGAUUUUGUUAACAUGGUAUGUCUCCGCAUCCUAGUACACAAUUGUUACUUCUUAAUCUGAUUGCUCUGAAACAAACUUUCCAAGAAGAUAAUUCGCUCCGAUGACGGUUUUGUAGGUGAGUUCUCUCCACUACAGAAGGUUAGAUUUCGAAGAAUUUGUCGCCUCGGCAAUUAGUGUUUAUCAGAUGGAAGCACUGGAAACGUGGGAGCAGCACGCCCAUCGUGCAUACGAAUUCUUCGACAGGGACGGCAAUCGGCCAAUUAUGAUCGAAGAACUCGCAUCGGUACGAUUCUCAUAAUUAAGUCAUUUUUCUAAGUCAUUUCUAUUUUCACAGUUGAACCCAUUGAUUACUUUAUGGGCUACGAAGAAAAUUAAUAAAAUUUCUAUGUUUUUUUUUUCCCCUUUCUUAGGAACUUGGUCUUAGCCCUUCAGUCCCUGUUCAUGUUGUUCUGAAAGACUGGAUAAAACAUUCCGACGGGAAACUUAGUCUCCUCGGAUUCAUUAAACUUCUACAUGGGGUUUCUUCGCGGUCGAUUCCCAAAGCCUAGCCAAUGAAAGCCUAAUCCUGUGAAUCCCGAAAUUAGCGCAGAUGAUAAGGUGGUGCAGAAACAAGAUCAUCAGCUUUUAUCACAAGACAAACAAGGUCAAUUUUCUGUUUCUUUUUUUUUGUCAGAUUUGUCACUUCUUUUCCCUAUCGAAUGGAUUGAUCACAGAGCGAAGUCGCUCAGAUGAAUGUAUAGAUUCAGGAUAGUAACUAGAAAAGUUAAAAAGUAAAUCCAUGCUAGGUUUAGUUGGUUCUCCUCCCUGUAGACUCUCAAAUCUCAUUACUCAAUUCUCAAUUAUGAGUAGGGAACUUAAAUUUUGGGGGUGAAAUAGUGUCUAGGGCCUUUUUUCUCAUCCUAUGAGGUAUCAAUGUAUGUAACGAUGAUUCUGCCCAGUAGCAUUAAUAACUUGUUGGGUCCAACCACUGGCCUAAGAUGCUUAAGGAAGAGUCCGUACUCCGUUAGUAGUAAUUCCUUUUCCAUCCGAUACAGGAUUAUUGAUGUGUCACCACCCAAGAGAAGCCUAAAAUGUUGUUAACACCAAAACAAACCACAAAAGCUUCAUCUAAAUGAAAACGUUGUCCAUUUUACUAUGAAGUUUAAACAAGUAGACACUAUUGAAGAUAAUGAAAACAUCGAAACAUCGUCCAGGGACACUAUUCAGCAUGCAUCAUGUGAUUGGUCACAUGCAUUGUACCUUCAAGUAUCAUGCUUAGUUAUUUUUGUUUCCUCUUUCAGUUUCUUUCUUCCGAGGGUCAGUUGGUUGAACGUAAUUGUAAAUGCAAUGUAGUUAGAGAUGCAUAUAGUUGAAAACACUGCAUGUACCCUUUUUGGUUGAAUAGAGUGAAUAUUUGGUUUCAUGUGGUUGAAUUUUGUAUUUACAAUUUUUUUUGCUUUUUAUAUGGAAUGGUGAGGUUGCUUUUAAUAUAUAAGGAAAAAUGUCUUCUCUUUAAAAGAUGAUUUAAGGUUGUAAGCUUAUUUUUUAUUUAAAAUUAUUCUCUUUAUUUGUUACAAUUGGAACUGUACCCAAUUUGGACGUAGUCUUAAUUUCUACUGUUGAGCCUCCUUAUGCUUUUCCAACUGCAGUGUUGGAUUUAAAUGGAUCAAAUUAAACACCAUAUCGGAAUUUGUAUGCAGUUAUAAUUACGGUACAGUUGCAACUACAUGUCCUAAGUAAAUUUCUGGUUACUGGGGAUCAUCAAAAAAAAAAAUUCCCUAAAUUAUUCUGUUCUCAGAUGCAGUAAGUGCUUUUUUCUUAAAACAUAUUUCUAUAUACAAAAUUAUACUUGGCCUGGUGACAACAGUAUUUUCUCUUAAGAUAAACCUUUUUGAAUUGGCCUUGUUUAGAUUCUGCAAUAGGAUAAGCUUGGUUCAGAAUAGUAUUAAAGUUGGAAAAUUAACUAGUUUUGAAUCCCUUUUCCCCUCUCUCUCUCUCUCUCUCUCUCUUGGAGAAAAUUGCCUCUGUAUCCUUGUACAAGUCCUAAAUUUUGUAUUUACCCUUUGUUUCAAAUAUAUUCCAGAAAAGUUUUUUUAUGUAUGUACCCCUGUUUUGAGGGUUUACUCAAAACAAUUAGGUGAGUUUAGAAGGAUAGGUUGAGAAUAGUAAAUUUGUACGGGAGAAGUCGGGAACUUUUUAAGAGUAUAUAAGUAAGGAACUAGUUUUGAAUCUUUGGCGAUAACUUGGGUAGUAUAUGAAAAUAUUUUUCUGUAAUUGCAAGUUGAGAGAUACUGCUUUCCAGCUAUUGUUAUGUAAUUAAAUCUUACAUGCACAGUAAUCUCUAUUCCAAAAAAAGUAAUAUAUAUGUUGAUCAUAUUAUUUGAUUAUUGAUACUGUUUUAUUUGUCGAUCAAUUGUGUGGAGAACAUCACCGAUCAUACCUAGCACAGCUUGUUAAGAAUUUGAUAUUUGAUAAUCAAAAUUUCAAGUUUGAAAUCAAGUUGCUUCACAUUUAUAGCUGAGUUCAAAAAAACUAAAUUCAAAGCGGGUAGCAUGCAGUGUCUUUCUCUCUCAAAAAAGAAAAAAAUAUGGAGAACAUCACCCAAAAAAAAAAACAAAUAACCACAAAAAUGUAUUAAAUUUGAAAAUAAAAUAAUAAAAAAAACCUGUUCUGAUGUUCUUCUAUUUGCUGAUAAAUAAAAUUGAUUAUUAAUAGAAAUAAAAUUUUAAGAAAAGGAAUUUUAAAAACUGGAGAUGCGGGGUAUCGAUCCCCGUACCUCUCGCAUGCUAAGCGAGCGCUCUACCAUCUGAGCUACAUCCCCUGCUGGAAAUUUCGUGCAGUAUAAUAUUUAUAUUAUUAAAAUGUAAGAAGUACGCAAUAAUUAUUAUUAAAUAAAUUAAAUAUAAUAUUAUUUUAUAUAUAAAUUGAGAGGUUCUCGAAAUCGAGAGAUCACGCGAGCGGAGGCUACCCCUCGUCCUCCUCCUCCUCUGCUUCACUCUCUCUCUCUCUCUCUCUCUCUCUCUCUCUCUCUCUCUCUCUCUCUCUCUCAUGGCGAUCCCUCGCAUGAAGAAGAGGCCUCGCCCUCUCCUCCUCCUCGCCCUCACCCUCGCCCUCGCCGCUGUGUCCCUCGUCCUCUUCGGGAUCCUCUUCUUCUCCGCCGCAUCCUCGCUCCCCACCCUCGGAUCCCUCCUCUUCUCCUCCCCCGCCCACUGGUCCGCGAGCGGCGGGGGCGGCGGCGGCGGCGGAGGAGGAUUGUACGGCCUCGAGCGGCGGUACCUGUACUGGGGCCACAGGAUCGAUUGCCCCGGCAAGCAUUGCGAGUCGUGCGCGGGGCUAGGGCAUCAGGAGUCGAGCCUCCGAUGCGCCCUCGAGGAGGCCCUCUUCCUUCAGAGGUCGGAUCUCUUCGAUAUCUUUAAUUCGUUUCUUCUUGUGAUUAAUGGUUUAGUAGUAGCUUUACAUUUACUUCGCUGUGUUCUACUGUAAUUAAAUAUCAUCAUUGGGUUUGGUUUGAGAUCUAGUUUUUCUCUAGGUUUAAUUUUUGUAGUUGGAAAUGUAUGGAGACCUUCUCAACUAUAGAUCAUUUUGAAAUAGGCCCCUCGAAGAUCCCAUCAAAUUUUAGUUAUUUUGAUUGGGGUGAUUCUCCUGAGUUUAAUUGGGGAUUUGUCGAAAUUAAUUGCUCUGUUGAAAAAAAAAAGCUUUUAAAACAGUCAAAUUUAAUUUAAUCACCCUUAAAUUUAAUAAAAAUCAAAUAUUGGUUGACGAAAAUAAUGCAGAUCAAAAUAUCAAAGUUAAGAGCAUCUCAAUUGAAAAAAAAAAAAGAAGAAAGAAAAUUGUUUAGUGGUCUAUUCCAACACUGCUUAUAGUUGAUGGGGUCCCUGUUAGUUGUCUUUGUAAGAAAUAUAGAACUUUUGGUCCAACAUGAUAUUUAUUGCUCCUUCCUUGAAUUUAGGUAAAAGCUUAUGGAAACCCCCUCAACUAUAGGCCAUUAUGAAAUGGUCCCCUCAACUUUAAUUUUUUGAUUGAGUAUGCUUGAACUUUUGAUUUGAUUCAAUUGUAUCAAAUAGAUUGGAAAUUUUAUCAGAUCCAUAGGUAUUUUUUCCGAAUUAAUGGCUUUUAGCAUAUAUAACUAGACCAACUAAAGAUUAAUAAUUAACAAAGUUAUUUAAGGGGUCUGUUUUAAAAUAACCUAUACUUGAGGGGGGUGUCCAUACAUUUUACCGAGAAUUUGUUACCUCUUGCUAGUAGUUAUUGUACUUUGGCCUGAUCGUAACCAAGCUUUGCUACGCUUUAACUAUCUCAAGUUUCCUUACAAGAACUAAUUGUGCACACAAUUCUAGUAUGAUCAGGAACUGAAUCUCGGUAAAGUUCUAAGAUUUGUUGUUUCUUUUCUAUGCAGAGUGUUCGUGAUGCCUUCUAGAAUGUGUAUUAGCUCGAUUCAUAACAAGAAGGGAAUCUUGCAUUCCCCUAGUGAUGCAAGUUCAGAGGAAAGGUAAGCUUAUCAAGUACCAGUCGCUAGCUGUUUUAAUUUUUAGUUGUCUGACAGUAUUUAGAGAUAAUAUAUCUGAGAAUUGACAAUUUUAUCAGUAGAUGUCUUACAGCAGCCUCUUGUUAUUUGGUGUGUUUUGAUCACUAAAUCUUUAUGUAUGAUGCAUAAUGUCAUAAUUUUAUUUCUAUCAUUCUUGUGCACUGUUAUUAGCUCAGUUUCUUGUGGACUGUUCAGGUUUUUCUAAUGUAUUGUGCAUUGUUUGAACCAAAUAUAUCAAGUAUGAUUAGUUGUUUCUCAUUUAUACUUCUGCUUUACAUUUGCUUGACCUGGAAAAUAUUUUUGACGUUAAUCAUUUUAAGAAUCUAAUUCUAGCUUAGAGGUAGUUUAUUGUUGUGAAUGGUAGUCAUAUCUUUUACUCUUUAUUCUUUGAUCUGUUUAUGUUGCAACUGUACCCUAAUUAUAGUAGCCAGAAGAGAUGUCAAAGCUAGAUGUUGGCAAUAUGUUUUCAAUUUGCAUUGUAGCAUUUUGACUUCUGUUAAGUGUUAAAAUUUAUGAUUCAAAUUUAAAUGCUUUACAGAUGGGAAGCUAGUUCUUGUGCGAUGGAUUCUUUGUGCGAUGGAUUAUUUGGUGUGUUUUGAUCACUAAAUCUUUAUGUAUGAUGCAUAAUGUCAUAAUUUUAUUUCUAUCAUUCUUGUGCACUGUUAUUAGCUCAGUUUCUUGUGGACUGUUCAGGUUUUUCUAAUGUAUUGUGCAUUGUUUGAACCAAAUAUAUCAAGUAUGAUUAGUUGUUUCUCAUUUAUACUUCUGCUUUACAUUUGCUUGACCUGGAAAAUAUUUUUGACGUUAAUCAUUUUAAGAAUCUAAUUCUAGCUUAGAGGUAGUUUAUUGUUGUGAAUGGUAGUCAUAUCUUUUACUCUUUAUUCUUUGAUCUGUUUAUGUUGCAACUGUACCCUAAUUAUAGUAGCCAGAAGAGAUGUCAAAGCUAGAUGUUGGCAAUAUGUUUUCAAUUUGCAUUGUAGCAUUUUGACUUCUGUUAAGUGUUAAAAUUUAUGAUUCAAAUUUAAAUGCUUUACAGAUGGGAAGCUAGUUCUUGUGCGAUGGAUUCUUUGUACGAUCUAAACCUCAUUUCAAAAGUAGUUCCAGUGAUUUUGGACAACUCCAAUCUGUGGCACCAAAUACUGUCAACAAGUAUGAAACUAGGAAAGAGGGGGGUGGCUCACGUGGAAGGAGUCAACAGAUCUGAUCUCAAAGAAAAUAGCAUGUACUCAAAUGUGCUUCUAAUAAAUCGCACUGCAAGUCCUCUGGCAUGGUAAAAUUUGUUAUUAUUAUUUCAUUAAGUAACCUUUUAUUCCUUCUUCUUGUCAGAUUUAAUAUCUGGGAUGCGUUUCUUUUACUCCUUUAAAUAUCAAAAUCGAUGAAAGAUGCACAAUUUUGCUAGGUGAAUGUUUGAAACAUCAAGCGCUAGUCUUGAUCAUGAUAACCAUCCAGGUUUAUGGAGUGCAAGGAUAGAACCAAUCACAGCUCUAUUUUGCUGUCGCACUCCCUUUUGCCAACCAUGGCAGCUGAAAGAUUGCAAAAUGUGGCAGAUAAAGUAUGUCUUCUUCAGCUUUUUCUUCUUCUUUUUCCCCUUUAAUUUCGUGCUAGGUGAGAGUGUGACUUUCUUUCUUGUCCUGGAAUAUAUGCAGCUUAUCCUUCCCGCUGUUGUCAAUUGUUACUUGUUUCUGAUUUGGAACUUUCGAUAACCCAGCUCUUCCUAUAUUCAUGAUAGACAGGAUGUACACUCAUGUCAUGAUAAACAAGAUAUACUCCCUUAGGACUACUUCUGUAAUCCGCAUCUUUCAAAUGUCAAACAACCUCUUUACAUUUUUAAGCCCUAUCAUCCAACUAGAGUUGUGUUUCAAUUGCUUUCUUGAGUAGUCAGUGCUGGGUGAUCUUGGUCGAUUUUAAUAGAUGAUUAUUUUCAGGCUAGGUCUCUCUUUCCAUGCACCUUUCCGUGAGUAGGGAUUUUAUUUGUUUCCCAUCGAAUUGGCACACAAAAAAUCAGCUAAAUAAUUUAACUUGUUAUCAGCAUUAAGCUGUUCCUGAUCUCAUCUAUUUGAGGAAAAGAUGUUUGUAUUAGCACUUGAGCCACAUCCGUAUAAUCCGAAUAAUUAAUUAGAGUGACUUGCUCAUAGUAUAAGACCUGUAACUUACCUGUUAGUUUGUUCAACAUAGACAUGUAGUAUUGGUAAUAACAUGCAACACAGUUACUCUUUAGGCACUUGAUUUGGCAUAUACGCCUAGUUUUUAAACAAAACCCAUGUUGAUAGCAAAGCCAACUUGUGGGCAUUGAUUAAGCUACUCCUACACUGCCUACGAACUGACUGAAUUAGACUUGUCUUAAAGUUAUGCGAAAUAGUUAAGAGGUUCGAGUGACCAUAACAUGCUGAGUGUUAUAGUUUAUAUUAUUUGCAUAUCUCUGUGUACAUGGUCCUCUUAUUAAAGCAAAAUGCUCUUUCUGUGUGCGGCCUUCAUUUAGCUUACAAAAAAGUAUAUUCGAUGCAGAUUAAAAAAUCACUUGGUGAUUAUGAUGCUAUUCAUGUGCGGCGAGGGGAUAGGUUGAAAACCAGGAAAGAUAGAUUUGGAGUUGACAGGAGCCGUCAUCCGCAUCUCGACAGAGACACCCGCCCUGAAUUUAUACACCGGAGGAUCGCAAAAUGGAUUCCGCCUGGACGUAGUCUAUUCAUUGCUUCAGAUGAGAGGACUCCCGGCUUCUUUUCGCCUCUAUCCGCCUGGUAUCCCCUAAUCCUUUUUAAUAAUAAUCUGAUCAGUUUAUUUUGGAAUUUACUUCUCAGACCCAUACAAGUCCAAGAUACAUGCGUGUAAGUCCCUUGUCUCUUUUGAUUUUAUGGACCAUUGAUCUUAAGGACUACUAAAUUAUGAUAAGCACUUUAUGUCUAUAAAGAGUUGGGCUUUUUUUUUUUUUAAUGCAUGUAUCCUAUUUUUACUUGUUUUUCUGUUUUAUUUUGUGCCUCAUUACCUCUUAUCGCUUAACCUAAAUAUUAUUUAUAUUUCUCAGCCAUGCAAUUCUUGUCCAACAUAUAUUCAUCUAUAAUGUUACUAUUUCAGCUAAGAAACUAAAUAUUCUUGUGAUUCCACUUGGUCAAUGAAAAUGCCUGGAUAUUGCUUUCAUGUGAUUAAUCAAAAAAUUACAAUAUUUUGUCACCUGCAAAAUUGAGAAAAAGUUUUACAUUCUUGAAACAAGUUUACCUACUAUUUGGACACAUUUAUUGUUCUUCAGGUACAAAUUAGCAUACUCAUCAAACUUCAGUAGCAUAUUGGACCCGGUAAUCGAAAACAACUAUCAACUUUUCAUGGUCGAAAGGUUAAUUAUGGGAGGCGCGAAAACUUUUGUGAAGACAUUUAAGGAAGACGAGAAUGACCUUUUCCUCACAGACGAUCCGAAGAAGAAUCCGAAGAAUUGGCAAAUGCCUGUUUAUACUGACGAAGAAGACGGAAGCUGAAAAAUGGAGAAAAUGCACAAAAGUGCGCACAGCUUGCCUACAUCUUAGUGAGCUUACAAAAUUCAAAUCAGUGAAUUCGACACCUUACUGAAAUAUCGUUUUUAAAUUGGAGGUGUUACUCAUUCUUUUUUUCCUGUUUUUUUGGGGGGGCGGCGAAGAAAGAAAAAAGAAAACAAAGAUUGGAACAGUUGUAUAUUCUGCAAUGCAUAUUUUUUGUGUUACAUGACAUGGAAGAGAUUGUAAACUGUGAUUAUCGUAUUCUUGAGUAAUAGUAGUCAAAAGACAAUUUUAAGACUCAAAUUUGAAUUCGAUUUUUCUUCAUAUACAAAUUUGAAUUCGGAUUCAGAUAUACAUGCAUUCAAGUAUAGACUCAAAGCUAGGCCUGUGAUCUUGAAACAUAAUAAAAAUUUAUAUCCAAAUAUUUAUAUUAAAUAAAGUAUAAUCUUUUCAAAUAUCCAUAUCACGAUCAGUCGCUGCCGUUCCUCCUGCUACUAAGGCCCAAUUUAUAAUUUACGAAAUAAUACUAUCAAAAUUUUAUUUAGUCAAAUAAUUCUAUUUCGUAAAGAAUUAAUUAGUCAAAUAAAAUUUUAUACAUUUUUUUUAUUCUAAUUUUUAUAGAGAUAUUAAGUAAAAAAAAAAACCUUUAAAUAUCGUCCCCGUGGUUUCACACUUUUUUAUUUUAGUAUCCUAUAAUUUAAAGUGUAUCAAUUUAGUAAACCGUGAUUUUAAUUUUCUCUUUUUAUUAUUUUUUGCACUAAUUUUUUUCGUUAAAUCGGUGUUAAAUCGGUGAUAUAGUUAAAACUAAAAAAUACUAAAAUGAGAAUAUUCGAUAAAUUUAGAUAGAAUAUCUGAAGUAUUUUUAUAUAUCAUUUAACGAAAUAUUAAUGAAGAAGCUGACGAAAAAAAAAAAAAAAAAGUACUAAAUUGUUAUUACACUUUAAACUAUACGUACUAAAAUAAAAAAUUACAAAAUAAUAGGAUGAUAUUUAAAAUUUACCCAAAAAAAACAAGGAAGAAAAAUCCUUUGGCCCGAAGGCAUUCCCCCGUCGCUUUCAGCCAGUGGCAUCUGCGUCGCGCAGGGCCGCUAAAUCGGUCGGCUGUCUUUACACGGGCACGGAUCCACUGGCGCCACGCGGCCCAAUGGGAAAUCAGAUUUAGAUGGAAUUUCUUCUCAGCCACACACACCGACACAUGAUACAUCACACAUACAUCCUCCCUCACCCACAAAACCAACCAUCUAUACAACUUCUCGGAGAAGCUCCUCCCCCCUCUUUCCCAAUUUCCUCCCCCCUUAUCCACAAGCGCUUCUCCUCAGUGUUUUUUUUUUUCUCCUUUUUUUUUUUCAAAAAAGAGAUCUUUCUUUUUGUUUAUUGAUCCCUCCAUCUCUUCUUCCACCACCAAAUUACAGUAAGAAUCCUUAAAUUCUUCUUCUUCUUCUUCUUCUUCUUCUUUUGAACUUUUUCUUCUUUUUUAGUUGUUUAAGGGUGCUUGCUUUUGAGGUUUAUUUGAUUUUUACCUGCUUUUCUUGGGUCGGUUUGGGAUUUUGGAUCUUGGAUUUUGGAUUAUGGAUGAUCGUGCUUUGUAAUUUUAGUUCUUCUUUGUGGGUUUUACUUUUCUUUUUCUCAUGUAAGUUAUAAGUGGAUCUGUGCCCUUUUUUCUUCACUUGAUUUCUUUUUUCCUUCUUAUUCGAGUCUUUUUCUGAAAAGAUUAAAUUACUACUAGUAUGAAUCUAUGCUUUCUAGCUUAGUUUUACUUUUGGAUCUUACUUUUUUUUAAAAAAAAAAGAAAUUUAACUUGAUUUUUCCUGAUAUGAUGAUCGAUGUUUAGAAUUUUGCUUAAAAAAAGGCCAUAUAUAUAUAAAUAUAAAUGAGAAAAACCAAUUGUUGUGGAUGCGAAAUUACCAUGUUUUUAUAGUUUUAUUAGCUUUGUAUUCCCCAUUUUUGCUUACUCUGCUAGAAAAAUGAAAGUGAAAAUUAUCAACUAACAGGUCUUGAUCAUGUGGAAUUUCUUCAGAUCCACAUGAAAAAAGAGAAAUUGCAAAAUUUUACUACCAUCGCGAGUGUUUCGAUUGCUUAUGUUGAGCAGAUUCGAUAAUCUGACAUGUUCUUAUUUACAGAUAAGCAGCAUGGAUUGGUAUUUCCUCGAAGAAAGCGACGAUUUUCUUGUCCCGAGUGAUCAAGAACCCUUUGGAGAUGUUCCUGCGUUUUCAGAUGACUGGCGUUCUUGGGCCGUCGCUCCGCCAAAAGUUUCUCAGCCGUGCGGGGAUGAUGCUCUUCUGCAGCACGGUCGAGGUUUAUAUGCUGACGAAAUGAAGCAGAGUGCAUUCAAAGAGGGAGAAAGAGGAUUCGGUGAUUCGACCGCACGGGGAGAGUCUACGCCGCUCGAUUGCUGUCCAAGAAGCUCGGAAGAAUCGUUCGAAUGUCAGACCAAGUGCGAGAUGCCGGACAACUUGGAGGAAAUGGAUAACAUUUUCUUGUGCAAGCAUAACUUCCGGGAUCCUUGGUAAAAUAUACAUAUAUAUAUAGUUUUAGCUCCUAUUGGAAAUAAAGUAGUUUGUUUUACAUAAAAAGUAGGGCUUAAAUUACAUAUCUGUAUGUUAUGUGUAAAUUAAAAUGUAGUGGAUCUUAAAUUAAGGUAUAAACAGUUAAAUAUGAUCAAGAACAUCUAAGAUGCAUGCUGAUAAAGUUCCACAAAUUUUGAAAAUCGAUUUCUUACACAUCGAGUGGUGUUAAGAUCAAUGACCCGGAAUUUACAAAAAAAGGGCUUUUUUUUAUAUAGGUCUUCAAAAAUUAUGAUUUUUUGUAAGUAGGUCUAUUUUAUGUUGUAAAUCACUUUCAAGCGGUUUAGAUCUUCAUUUUGAAACUUUUGUGAUUGGAUUUUAGCUUGUGUUAGUAGUGUGUAACUUAAAAGUGUGUAAUUGGGUCUCUACUCUAGAUAUAUUUAUCUUGCAACCUCAAAUUUUUAAAUAGGCCCUUUAGAAACUUAUUUUCGAGUAUAUAUUAACCAAUUCGUGACGAACUGGAUGACUUUCGAGUCUCAACUUAGAUAAACAUAUUUUUAUAGCUGCAAAUAGAUGAUUUUGCCGGGAUAUAUUAAUAAAAACCCCUAAGUAGUUUGUACUUCUUUGGAUUUUGAUGUCAUGGAUGCUUAUGCAGGAAUUCAUUUCUGGAAGUAGAUACACGGAACAUGGAAAACGCAUUUGAGCCAGUACAAAUGUUCCCCGACUCUAUGUACAGGUCGUUGUCGUUUGAGAAUAUAUUGGCGACUAUGCUCGCCGAUCCACAAAAUCAUUCGGCAAGUUUAAGUAGAAGUGAAAGUAUGAAUGAUCUUGAAGCCUGUGGAAUUCCUCUGUUCCCUAAUGACCUGUCGGAAGAUUUCGAGAAGACUGAUGACUGCUCAUCUUCAUGCGUGAAUAUGCCAGACGGGUCUGUAAUACUUCGUGCCGAGGUAAAAUCAUCUGUCGUUUCGUUAAUUGAUAAGGUCGUGUUGAUGCAUAUUUACCAAAAGAAUUGAUGAAAGAUUAGACAUUCUGUUCGAAUUCUCUUUAGCCAUUAAACUUGCCAUAUUUUAGGUUUUAUUUGCUCUAUGCUUCGAGUCCUUAGUUUUGAGGUUUGAAAUGUAGUAUCUUGGAUUUCGAGUUUCUGCUGAAUUGUUAAUGUACAGAAGAAAACUAAAUGCUAGUAUUCGAAUUUCGAUCACCUUUAAUCUGCUGUCUCAUAGCUGGUUUUCACACACAUUUUUGUUGAUAGUUUAUUAAUUCCUUAAUUAUUAUUUAACCUUACUUCCUUUGGAUGAGAAAUGUCCUUAUAUUCUUAUUAUUAUCAUGUUCCAGAGAGGCAUGACCUUGGGUGCUUCAUGUUUAGUGUAAUUUCACUCUCAGGAUUCGGAUCCCUACAUAUUCGUUCCGGCUGAAGUUAGACCAACAAGUGAGAGCAAAUUAGUUGCUGCUGAUGCAGAGAAGCCUAAAUGUUCGGAGGCGACAGUGCUGCGAGAGCUUGAAGAUGCAAUAUUGCUGGUAAAUUCAACAACGAAUCCUACGUCGUUUUCCCCUAAAUUCAUUUCGUGUUUCUGAAGUAUGCCAAUUGAACAGCUAAAUGAGGAGACGAGGAUUUGCUUCCGCGAUUCUUUGUACAGACUUGCUAGUAGUUCGAAAGACAAAAAACGCAAAAGAGAUGAAAGCAGAAUCACGGAGACGACUGUUGUCGCUUCGGCUCCAAAGAUGAAGGGUGUAAGUUCAAGGUAUGCCGCGAAAAUUUUCCUUGUUGCUAGUUCGGAGCUUCUGUAUCUGACAUUUUCCUAGUUGCUGGUUCAUGCUAAUAAGUAACAUAAUGUCUAAUCCUGUAUUAAUGGUAAUUCCUUCUCUUGUUUUUUGUAAUCCAUCGGAACUUUUGGCAUCGUUAUACCAUUCCGACAAAUGUAUCGACACAAUAAAGGCUUAAAUACAAAUAACCCCCCUUCAAUUUUCGCCGUGUAUAUAAAAUUGCAUCAAUUUUGAUCCUUAACUUUACAAAUGUCUGAAAUAGGCAGAAGGACAUUAUUAGUUGUGUGAAUCUGCAACUAGCUUAUCUUUACGAAAUAAAACAGGAGUUUUUCACAAACUUUGGUAAUUUAAAUCUGCAAGCCACCUACUCGCAUUUGCGCGCGUUUUCUUCUUCUUUAUCUUGCUUACUCAAGUCAUUAUUACUCAUUUCAGGGCAAAUAAAUCUGAGUGCACGGAAACGGAGACCAACAUAAUCGAUAGGACUGUCGCGAACCUCGUGUUCAAUCAGUCAUUUGCUGGCUCUUCAGACGCGAAAAAUCCUGUGCUGGCUUCGUAAGUGAAAGGAAAAUCAUUCGGCAGUUUCGGGCUCGUGCACCAAGUCAGAUCUUCCAUGACCAACUCUACUCUAUUGUAUGAGUGAUAAGUUGCACCAUGGAUCUUUUUGAGCAAGUAACAAGAAGCAAUGAGUAGGAACAAGUUAUUACUUUUUGUAACUUAUCUAAACUUUGGAUCAUUUUGAAUUGACUACGUAAACUUUCGAAAGGUUGAUUUUACUAUCCAACCUGUCAAUCUGUUUAAUUUCAGUCAGUCGACGAUGCUUCGACUUCAAAAUUUAAGUUUAUUAAAACAAGCAAUUAUCUCAAACUUUGAAAUCAAAGUAUCGUCGACUGACUUAAAGCAAACAAAUUGAAAAUUCGAAUAGUAAAAUUGAAGUUUUGAAAGGUGGGUAGUUGAGUCAAAAGGUUGUAAAUUUUUACCUUGUAUUGAUCCAUCUAGUUUGAGCAGACAUUUUUGUGCAGAUCUCGUGAUGUUAUUGUAUAUGUCAAAAGGAUGUGUAGUUGUAAAAAUAUGAGAUGCCACCAAAAUUGGAGAUUAUAAUUUUGGAUAAUGUUCUAUGAUGACCUCUCCUAAAUGCUUUGCUUAUACUCUGGACUGGAUGAUCUGUUCUUUUUGUUUUUCUUUAAUUUGUAGGCUAGAUUAUGAAGGGGUAAAUUGCACUAUUGGUUCUCAAACUACGUGGCGCAUGAUAUUUUGUUUCUCGAACUUUUAAUUUAUUACAAUUACAGCUGGCUUGAAUUUCUAAAAUGUGGUUGCGAUUAAGUCCUACAAUAUAAUUUAGUUGACUAAAUGGUAAUAUGCCGGUGAUGUAACUAUAACAUAAUAGUAUACAACACUGUCAUAUUAGCGACACAUUAUUUGUCAAUCAACUAAAUUAUAUUGUAGAAUUUAAUCACAAUAAUUUAAAAAGUUUAAACCAGUUAUAACAAUAAAUUAAAUUUUGAGGACCAAAUUAUUACCUACCUUACAAAUUGAGGACCAAAAGUGCAAUUUAGCCAUUGUAAACUUCAGUGCAAGCAGUUAAAAUAAGGGAAGAUUUUGGGUGAAGGCCCCUGAGUUAAUUAAUUAAUUAAUUUGUUAAGCCCAGUUUGAAUGUCGGAAUAAAUUAUGUGAUAAUAACUGAUUCGAUAUAUAAGAAUUUUCUAUUGAGAUUAAAAACUUGGUUUAGACAUUGUUUUAGUAACAUAAAGAAGAAAAAAAAAGAAUAAAAAAAUUCAAAUAAUUACAUUGAGAAGUAAAUAGAGAAAAUAAUAAUUAAUAAAAGGGCGAGAUUUUGGCAAGAUAAGUGUUGGGUUAGUGAUAUCAAAUUUACUUAUUAGCCUAAUUGGUUUUAUUUUGGAUUUGGUUCAACAACUCAUGUAAUGGGCUAGUUAGUAUUUGGUUUGGGCUUUAGUUGACCCAUUUGGUAUGUUAAGCCAAGUGGAGUUAAGAGAGAACUCUUUGGCUGCGUUUGGUUGGAGACUAGAUUUUGGAGAACAACUUUUGUUGUUCCCGAGAACAGUGGAUAUUCCGGUACAAGAUAGAACAAUUGUAAAUUUGUGUUUGGAUGAAUUCGAGAAUAUUCUAGAGGAUAUCCUUAAUAGCGUUCGGAUAAAAAGUCUAGAACAACGUCUAAAUAUAUUUUUAAAAAUAAAAUAAUUAAUUUAUAUUAGUAUAUUUUAUAUAAAAUUAUUUAUAAAAUUAUUUCAUAUAGUAAUUUAUAAUAUAAUAUUUUAUGUAAGAAUCUAAUUUAAAAUAAUAUAUUUUAUUUUAUUAUAUAUAAUAAUUUAUUUUAUGUAAUAAUUUAUUUUAUAUAAUUUAUUCAUAAUAUAUUAAUGAAUAAAGUAUAAUACUAACAAUAUCCCUAUAUUUUUAAUUAAUAAUUAGUAUAAAUUUCAAUACAAAUGGCGGAAUGACUGUUAUUUAUAGUACUGUAAAAUUGGUCUCAACGGUGAAACAACCAUCUAGAAACGGGCACGACGGCCUAUGACACUAUCGGUAUAUUCAGAAUAUUACGAUCUGUUAAUCUCCCCAUGCUAACAAACUCCAACUACCCACCUAAUUGGUUUUGGCCAAAUUACAAGGGGUUUGGUACAGUAACCUGGCUUUCCGCAACACUAACAAACAGUGACAUCCCUUGCAAAUCUUGAAUUUUUGAUUUGAAGAGCUUAUGCGGCUAAAACCUCUUUAAUUGCGUUUUGAAGAUGGCUCUUUCGGCGAAAGUGUUUACAUCUUGGUCCGUGGCAUGUGAAAGUCAUGGUAACUAUUCGUUAUCAUCAAGAGGACAGUGAUUAAGAGCAAGUUGAAUCUUCAUCCAAUAUGAAAAGCCAACUAGGGAACUCUUACUCCAGAAGCACAUCUAAUAAAUGCCAACUUCGCAACCAACCGCAAAAAGACCACAGACAACAUUAUUUCAAGUGCAAAAAUUCCAAGUACUUAGAUCCUGCUCAAACAAAUAUCUAGGUUUAGACUUUUGAUAAGUAACACAUUUUGACCUAAUUAUUGUACUAUAAUAAGAAUCAUCUGUCAUCUCUUUGAUAAGAAAUGCUAAAACUUGCCGAAGCAAAGGUAGGGGAGAUGAGAGGUCAUAGUAACUUCUGGAAUCAUUGCAGGCCUUCAGAAGAAACAAUUCCAGCAGGAUGCGAUACCUAGGUAUUAAUGGGCUAUACACUUAUAGAUUCCAAAAGCCUCUCGACUUUGUGCCAAAGAUUACCUAAAAGCGUGACAAAUUCAAGCGUUAAUGCAGCGUAUCAGAUCUAUUGUUCUCCAUCUCAUCUCGCCCUCAUCAAAUCAACAUAUGCCGAAUCCAUGAUCGCGCUUCUCGCGUGGUCAACUUUGAUUGUGCGACCCAUGAAUCUUCUACGCUGUUUUGGAAUGUCACGCUCAUGACCGUCUUUCCAAUACACGAGUACUCGGCCUCUCGACUGUUUCCAGUUGAACAGUGGUGAUAUCUCAUAACAUUAUAAGGCAGAGAUACUAUAUAUCGCCGAUACUGUACCCAAUACAAUGAGCUACUAAACGCUAUUCAAUGCUAGGCUGUUGUGUAUUGAGCCACUAUUAUAUAGAUCGAAUAUCAGAGACGUAAAAAAAACUCCAAAAGUGAGCCCCAUGUCAAGUAACAAUAACAAUUAGCAAAACAAAAAUUUUAGUUUAAGUAAACCUAGUUUAAGAAAUCUAUGUUCAUAUUUAUAGAUAAUAAAUGACUCUUCAAGGGAAAAGAUGUAAUCAAAUAUUGCACAACAGUCGUGGAGUCUGUUUCUGCAAUAUGCCUAUAAAUUACAGCUUACCAGCCGGAAUCAUGACAUUCUUGUGCCUCUAACCCAUGCAUCACUCUAUGGCCUAAUUGUUAGAUAGAUAGUAGAUUAUAAGGCAACCUGCAACUGAAGAAAGCAAGCAUCACCCCGAUUGCAAGCUGAAUUGCUCUCAUGUAUCUUAUUCACUAUAUUUGAUUCAUGGCAAUCGAUGUGCUUAUACAUUGCUUCAGUUUAUAUCUCAAAGGGACUUAUAUCACUGUGUAGGAUUUAUUAAAAACAUAUAAAAGUGACUGGUAUCAUAUCCUUUAUUCUGUCUAUACCNNNNNNNNNNNNNNNNNNNNNNNNNNNNNNNNNNNNNNNNNNNNNNNNNNNNNNNNNNNNNNNNNNNNNNNNNNNNNNNNNNNNNNNNNNNNNNNNNNNNNNNNNNNNNNNNNNNNNNNNNNNNNNNNNNNNNNNNNNNNNNNNNNNNNNNNNNNNNNNNNNNNNNNNNNNNNNNNNNNNNNNNNNNNNNNNNNNNNNNNNNNNNNNNNNNNNNNNNNNNNNNNNNNNNNNNNNNNNNNNNNNNNNNNNNNNNNNNNNNNNNNNNNNNNNNNNNNNNNNNNNNNNNNNNNNNNNNNNNNNNNNNNNNNNNNNNNNNNNAUACUUUGAUCAAUAGAGAACAUUGCAUAAAGUAUGACAGCAUCAUAGCUCAGCAUGUAUGAAUCGUCAUUUGAAUUGAACUGGCGGCAACAUUUGGCUAAUACCAUGCUUCCAAGCCACAAAACAUCUGAUUCCACCAUGCAUCAUAGGUAAUGGGAUGAUUUCAUCGGAAUCCAUAUUGGGACUGAAAAACACCAAUAACCGAGUAAAGGCAACAAAUUAAACCCAAAAAGGAACUAAAAAGCUCACCUCCAGGCUCCAAGUAUGCGGAUAAUAGAACGUUUUUAUAUCAUAGUCAAGUAGGGACUAGAGAUCCUCAAGGCCCAACUAUUAUCGAGAAGAUUUUGCAUCUCACAACAGAGACAUAUAUAGAACAUCAAAAAGGCCACUUACUUGUCUUAGGUGGAAGUAGAUAAAGAGUAGUAAUGGAGGGACUUGACAAGUCAAGCAAGCUUCAGAGAUGUAUUAACUUGCAGCCGAAAAAAUUGACUCAAUUAAUAACAAAUCUGCACAGGAAAUCGAGCAGUAUCCAUCCAUUCUUGAGAGGGAGAUGCAGAUGCACAUUAAACAACUCCAAUUAAUGUUGGUUUUGAAGAAGAGAAGAAGAUGAGGCCUCUCGAGGCGAGUCGACAACUCGAAGCAACACAAUCCAAGAAGGAUCUAACUUUCUACUUUGCAUCCGAGGGAAAUCACCUGAAUUUAUUGAAGAUCUGCACAAGGAACUGAAGAUCGGCUACCAAUUGAUGAGGUUGGGAGGUAGAUUGAAAUCGCUACCAAUUGAUGAGGUUGGGAGGCAGAUUGAAAUCAUUCCCACAUAGUUAAUGCUGGUUUUAAGCUCCAGAGGAAGGAUUAGGUUUAAUAUGGAGUUAAUAUGAAAGAGAAAAAACCGGCGGCGUUGAAAAGUGAAGAGAGCUGAGAAGAAGAGGAGUAGGUGAGAGGAUGGAGUUAAGAGGGAUUUGAGGAGGAAGAAGAAGGCUUCAGCAGGGGAAAGAGACGACAAUGGCAUAGAAUGGGUAGGUGAGUUGGUGGAGAGGAGAGUAAAGUUGCUCGGGUUUCGAGAAAAUUUAUUUUUUACUACAUCUACCCCUGCAAUUCUCGAGAUUUAAUCCUUAUUCGAGGGGUGAGGAUGAAUAAAAUUAACGGGUUAUUCCAUGAUAUUCUGGAAUAACCCGUUUUGACCGGGUUAAAAUAUUUAGAUGGAAUUCAAUUUUGUUUGGCAAAAUAAUUAGGAUAAAUCAGUUUAUUCCCCUGUUAUUCUGUUACCAAACGCAGCCUUAUUAUUGCUUCUUAUAUUACUAUUUUUUAAUUAUUUAUUCAUCCUAUCGUGUGAAUUACUGUACUAGAUAAAUAUUAAAUCGUAAACUUUUAAAUCCGAUAUAUGUCACCGUUUGGAUGGGGGAUAAGGGGAGGGACAACCCUUAUCCCCCUUUAUACCCAAAUAUAAUUUUUUUACUCGAGAAUAGUAAUUCUCGGGUAUCUGAAAUAAGCUGGUAUAACUAUUCCUACCAAUAUCUUUAUUUUUUAUAUAUACAUACCCACUAUUUUUUUUAUUUUAUAUUAUUUAUUUAAAUAUUAUUUUUUUUAUUUUUAAAAAUAGCUCAAUUUUUAUCCAAAAAUUAUUUUUUUUAUCUCCAUUCUUAUACCUAUCUCCGAAAAUAUAUAGUGCCAACGCGUCACUCACAUUCUUUGAAUGUGGAUAUAAAAGUGGGAAAACAAAAAAGCGUUAGAAUGGCAAAUUCCCGUAAUUUCAACCAAUCAGCGGGGUCAAAUGUCCCGCACGCAGCUCGAAAAGUAGAGGGCCGCGGUUCCCGUGCCUUUAUUCCCCGGAAGACGAGCAGAGACCCCUCUCUCUUUGUCCCUCUUGUCCUUUCCAUCGCUCCUUUCCUCUUCCUUUCCCACCACCACCACCACCACCGCCACUCCCCCCUCCCCACUCCCACACUACUAACAAAAAAAAAAAAAAAACAAACAAACACCUCUCUCUCUCUCUCUGCUACUAUACCACGCUUGCACUUGUGUACUUUUUAUCUCACUAGAAGAAGGAAGGAGAAAGGUGGGAGAUCGAGAUGGUGGAGGGGAAAGGGUCGACGCUGGUCCACGUCCUCGUCAUCGCCCUCAGCCUCACCGCCUUCGGCUUCGCCAUCGCCGCCGAGCGCCGCCGCAGCACGGUCAGUCUCAUUUCUCUCCCUCGCCCGAAAAAUCGAUCCAUCGAUCCGGUAGAAAACGGACAGUUCACCAAUAAUAAUCCUACAGUUAAGAUCAGGUGAAUCACAUCAAAUCAACCCCCACACUUUUGCGCAUUGCAUCCAUGUGUUUUCGUAUUUUCUCAUUUUAGUAUCCAUAGUUUUAUUUUUCUCUUUUUUCACCCUCCUGUUAACUUUUCGUUAAAUUAUUAUAUAAAAAAAGCUUCAGAUACACCAUUUAUAGUUUAUCGAAUAUUAUUUCCUUUAUUACUCUUUAGUUUUUACUUUGUUACUGAUUUAACAAAAAAAAAUUAAUAAAAAAAAAAAAUCCACAUGGUACGAAAGUGAUAAACUUUAAGUCACGAGGUACUAAUGUGAGAAAAUGCGAAACCAUGUGAGAAAAUGCGAAACCGAGUGGUAUUUAGGCUGCGUUUGGUUGGAGAACUAGAUUUUGGAGAACAAUUUUUGUUGUUCCCGAGAACAGGGGAUAUUCCGGUACAAGAUAGAAUAAUUGUAAAUUUGUGUUUGGAUGAAUUCGAGAAUAUUCUAGAGGAUAUCCUUAAUAGCGUUCGGAUAAAAAGUCUAGAACAACAUCUAAAUAUAUUUUUAAAAAUAAAAUAAUUAAUUUAUAUUAGUAUAUUUUAUAUAAAAUUAUUUCAUAUAGUAAUUUAUAAUAUAAUAUUUCAUGUAACAAUUUAAUUUAAAAUAUUAUAUUUACUUUAUUAUAUAUAAUAAUUUAUUUUAUGUAAUAAUUUAUUUUAUAUAAUAUAUUCAUAAUAUAUGUAAUGAAUAAAGUAUAACUUACAAUAUCCUUAUAAUUUAAUUAAUAAUAGUAUAAAUUUCAAUACAAAUUAAAAAAUAUAUAUGAUACAUGAAAAAAUACUUUUUUAUGUAUAGUACUUAAUAUAAAAUAAAAUAAUUAAAUAUUAAAAUAUAAAUAACAAAAUUUAAUAAAAUAAAUAAUAUAUCAAAUUUAAUUAAUUUUAUAUUAUAUAAUAAAAUUUAUGUGUAAAUAUAUUAUCAUUAAAAUAAUAUUUAUAUUAAUAUAUUUAUUUAUAUAUCUAUUUAUCUAAUAAAAUAAAUAGAAGAACUAAGUUGUUCUCAAUUCCCUAGGAACAAUUUUUAACGGGUUGUUCCAGAACAACGCAGAACAACCCGUUUUGACUGGAACAACCCGUUCUCCGCUGUUCCUCUACCGUUUGGUUAUAAUUUCGGGAAUAUCCCGUGCUGUCCCGAAAUAUUUCCGGUACCAAACGCAGCCAAAGGGUUAGAGGGAGUGAGUUCUCUUUUUGCUCUCUAGGUUUUCCCUUUUCUUGUAAUAGAGAAGAGAGGUGUAGAGAAAGUUGGAGAAGGAGCUCUCUUGUUCUUCUUGCUUGAUUCAAAAGCUUCCAAGGUAGAUUGGAAGAAUUCUAAGAGGUAUUCCGAAGCGGGACCCGCGGAAUCGGAAGGUGCUUCAAAGAAGGUGUAGCAAGAAGGGAUUUCUAUUGAAAGAUUGUAAGCCCAUUAAAAUAGAAUGGUAAUCUCUAACCAAAUCUUGUAAUCUCCUCAUUUGAUAGUGGAUUUGAUCUCUCCGUGCCCGUGGAUGUAGCCUGGUUUGGGUGACCACGUAAAUCUUGUGUUGUUGUUGUGGUUGUGCUUGGAUUUUUCUUUUUCAACUUCAUUUACUCCAAUCUUGCAUAUCUUAGUUGUGGAUAAUUUAGAUACAUCACAUUUGUUUACUAGUGUGAUUAGUAUCUUGAUAGUGAAGGUUCCGUCAUUAGCUCACUACAAUA